ACAAGGAUUCCCYUAGUAACUGCGAGUGAAGCGGGAAGAGCUCAAAUUUUGAAUCUGGCGGUCCUCGUGGUCGUCCGAGUUGUAAUCUAGAGAAGCRUUUUCCGCGCUGGACCGUGUACAAGUCUCCUGGAACGGRGCGUCAUAGAGGGUGAGAAUCCCGUCUCUGACACGGACUACCAGGGCUUUUGUGAUGCGCUCUCGACGAGUCGAGUUGUUUGGGAAUGCAGCUCAAAUUGGGUGGUAAAUUCCAUCUAAAGCUAAAUACAGGCGAGAGACCGAUAGCGAACAAGUACCGUGAGGGAAAGAUGAAAAGAACUUUGGAAAGAGAGUUAAACAGUACGUGAAAUUGCUGAAAGGGAAACGCUUGAAGUCAGUCGCGUUGGCCGGGGAUCAGCCUUGCAAUCUUGUUGGGUGCAUUUCCUGGUUGACGGGUCAGCAUCGAUUUUGACCGUCGGAGAAGGGUCGAGGGAAUGUGGCAUCCUUCGGGGUGUGUUAUAGCCUUUGAUCGUAUGCGACGGUUGGGAUCGAGGAACUCAGCAUGACCCCUCGUGGGUUUGGGGCUUCGGCUCACAUCCAUGCUUAGGAUGCUGGCAUAAUGGCUUUAAGCGACCCGUCUUGAAACACGGACCAAGGAGUCUAACAUGCCCGCGAGUGUUUGGGUGUUUAAAACCCGAGCGCGUAAUGAAAGUGAAAGUUGAGACCUCUGUCGUGGAGGGCAUCGACGCCCGGACCAGAACUUUUGUGACGGCCCUGCGGUAGAGCGUGUAUGUUGGGACCCGAAAGAUGGUGAACUAUGCCUGAAUAGGGUGAAGCCAGAGGAAACUCUGGUGGAGGCUCGUAGCGAUUCUGACGUGCAAAUCGAUCGUCGAAUUUGGG
Molecule: ribosomal RNA, 876 nt
Filed under: Serpula himantioides
Lineage: Eukaryota; Fungi; Basidiomycota; Agaricomycetes; Boletales; Serpulaceae
Description: LSU rRNA
Rfam family: Eukaryotic large subunit ribosomal RNA
Source: RNAcentral